RNAcentral lists this ribosomal RNA (468 nucleotides) under uncultured bacterium. RNAcentral describes it as "partial 16S ribosomal RNA". It matches the Rfam family "Bacterial small subunit ribosomal RNA", at positions 28 to 507 of the family's 1533-position model. The record is from RNAcentral.
GACGAACGCUGGCGGCGUGCUUAACACAUGCAAGUCGAACGGAAAGGCCCUGCUUUUGUGGGGUUCUCGAUUGGCGAACGGGUGAGUAACACGUGUGUAACCUGCCCUUGUCUUUGGUAUAACUUCACGUAACUGGGGCUAAUAUCGUAUAGCAUCUCCUGCUGCAUUGUGGGCGUUGGAUAUUUUCGGCGGUUGGGGAUGGAUGCGCGGCUUAUCAGCUUGUUUGUUGGGUUGUGGCUUACCAAGGCUUUGACGGGUAGCCGGCAUGAGAGGGUGAACGGCGACAUUGGGACUGAGAUACGGCACAGACGGGUACGGGAGGAAGAAGGGGGGAAUAUUGAACAAUGGGAGGAAGGCUGAUGAAGAAACGCGGCGGGCGGGAUGACGGCCUUGGGGUUAUAAAAAGGUAUCACCUGUGAAGAAGCGUGAGUGACGGUAAUGGGUAAAGAAGCAACGGCUAACUACGUG